AUCACUUCUCGGCCUUUGGGCUAAGGUCGUGUAUGAUAUGUGUUCUUAUCAGCUUAAUAUCUGAUCUGCCCUCUAUCUGAGGACAUAUAUUAAAUGGGUUUUGGGAUCUGGGAGAUGGAAUAGGAGCUUGCUGCAUCUGCUCCGCAUCAACCUGGUGCUGCAGUACCUACAGAAACAGUGGUACCACCU
Molecule: small nuclear RNA, 189 nt
Organism: Octodon degus (degu)
Lineage: Eukaryota; Metazoa; Chordata; Mammalia; Rodentia; Octodontidae
Gene: U2
Rfam family: U2 spliceosomal RNA
About the family: U2 is a small nuclear RNA (snRNA) component of the spliceosome (involved in pre-mRNA splicing). Complementary binding between U2 snRNA (in an area lying towards the 5' end but 3' to hairpin I) and the branchpoint sequence (BPS) of the intron results the bulging out of an unpaired adenosine, on the BPS, which initiates a nucleophilic attack at the intronic 5' splice site, thus starting the first of two transesterification reactions that mediate splicing.
Source: Ensembl